GUUGACCUCGAAUCAGGUAGGGAUACCCGC
This 30-nucleotide ribosomal RNA is filed under the name Golovinomyces cichoracearum. Its description in RNAcentral is "partial 28S ribosomal RNA". The record is from RNAcentral. Lineage: Eukaryota; Fungi; Ascomycota; Leotiomycetes; Helotiales; Erysiphaceae.